Molecule: small nuclear RNA, 108 nt
Organism: Dromiciops gliroides (monito del monte)
Lineage: Eukaryota; Metazoa; Chordata; Mammalia; Microbiotheria; Microbiotheriidae
Source: RefSeq, a predicted model, not a curated record
AUGCUUAUUUCAUCAUCAUACAUGCUAAAAAUUGUAAUGAUACAGAGAAGAUUAUCAUUGCCUCUGGAGAAGGAUGACAUGCAAAUUCAUGAAGUGCUGCAUAUUUUU